This 449-nucleotide ribosomal RNA is filed under the name uncultured bacterium. RNAcentral describes it as "partial 16S ribosomal RNA". It matches the Rfam family "Bacterial small subunit ribosomal RNA", at positions 338 to 795 of the family's 1533-position model. The record is from RNAcentral.
CCUACGGGGGGCUGCAGUGGGGAAUUUUGGACAAUGGGCGCAAGCCUGAUCCAGCCAUUCCGCGUGAGUGAAGAAGGCCUUCGGGUUGUAAAGCUCUUUCGCAAGGGAAGAAAACUUAUCCUCUAACAUAGGAUGAGGUUGACGGUACCUUGAUAAGAAGCACCGGCUAACUACGUGCCAGCAGCCGCGGUAAUACGUACGGUGCGAGCGGGCGUCAGGAUUACUGAGCGUAAAGUGUACGCAGGCUGUGAAAUCCCCGAGCUCAACUUGGGAACUGCGUUUGAAACGACAAGACUAGAAUAGGUCAGAGGGGGGUAGAAUUCCACGUGUAGCAGUGAAAUGCGUAGAGAUGUGGAGGAAUAUCAAUGGCGAAGGCAGCCCCCUGGGAUCAUAUUGACGCUCAUGCACGAAAGCGUGGGGAGCAAACAGGAUUAGAUACCCCUGUAGUC